ACUCAAAGGAAUUGACGGGGACCCGCACAAGCGGUGGAGCAUGUGGUUUAAUUCGAAGCAACGCGAAGAACCUUACCAGGCCUUGACAUCCCCCCGGCAGGGGAGCAACGUCCCUUUUCCUUCGGGACGGGGGAGACAGGUGGUGCAUGGUUGUCGUCAGCUCGUGUCGUGAGAUGUUGGGUUAAGUCCCGCAACGAGCGCAACCCUUGCCCCCAGUAGCCAGCGCGUGAAGGCGGGCACUCUGGGGGGACUGCCGGGGACAACCCGGAGGAAGGCGGGGACGACGUCAAAUCAUCAUGCCCCUUAUGGCCUGGGCUACACACGUGCUACAAUGGCGCGAACAAAGGGAGGCGGGCCCGCGAGGGUGAGCGAACCCCAGAAAGCGCGUCCCAGUUCGGAUCGCAGUCUGCAACCCGACUGCGUGAAGCCGGAAUCGCUAGUAAUCGCGGAUCAUCAUGCCGCGGUGAAUACGUUCCCGGGUCUUGUACACACCGCCCGU
This 499-nucleotide ribosomal RNA is filed under the name uncultured bacterium. RNAcentral describes it as "bacterial SSU rRNA". It matches the Rfam family "Bacterial small subunit ribosomal RNA", at positions 899 to 1397 of the family's 1533-position model. The record is from RNAcentral.